This 162-nucleotide ribosomal RNA is filed under the name uncultured bacterium. Its description in RNAcentral is "partial 16S rRNA". It matches the Rfam family "Bacterial small subunit ribosomal RNA", at positions 358 to 511 of the family's 1533-position model. The record is from RNAcentral.
GGAAUCUUCCACAAUGGGGGCAACCCUGACCGAGCAACGCCGCGUGAGUGAAGAAGGUUUUCGGAUCGUAAAGCUCUGUUGUAAGAGAAGAACGUGUGUGAGAGUGGAAAGUUCACACAGUGACGGUAACUUACCAGAAAGGGACGGCUAACUACGUGCCAG